This 374-nucleotide ribosomal RNA is filed under the name uncultured bacterium. Its description in RNAcentral is "bacterial SSU rRNA". It matches the Rfam family "Bacterial small subunit ribosomal RNA", at positions 28 to 414 of the family's 1533-position model. The record is from RNAcentral.
GAUGAACGCUGGCGGCGUGCCUAAUACAUGCAAGUUGUGCGGUAACAGAGAGAGCUUGCUCUCUGCUGACGAGCGGCGGACGGCAGAGUAACGCGUAGGAACAUACCCCAAACUGAGGGAUAACUGCUCGAAAGAGUAGCUAAUACCGCAUGUGGUCUUCGGAUUAAAAGCUUCGGCGGUUUGGGAGUGGCCUGCGUCCGAUUAGCUAGUUGGUGAGGUAAUUGGCUCACCAAGGCGACGAUCGGUAGCUGGUCUGAGAGGAUGAUCAGCCUGACUGGAACUGAGAACGGUCCAGACUCCUACGGGAGGCAGCAGUAGGGAAUUUUCCACAAUGGGCGAAAGCCUGAUGGAGCAACGCGCGUGCAGGAUGAAUG